GAAUAUUUGACACUGGGGGGAACCCUGAUCCGGCCAUGCCGCGUGUGUGAAGAAGGCCUUUUGGUUGUAAAGCACUUUAAGCGAGGAGGAGGAGCUCUCGGUUAAUACUCAAGAUGAUUGGACGUUCCUCGCAGAAUAAGCACCGGCGAACUCUGUGCCAGCAGCCGCGGUAAUACAGAGGGUGCAAGCGUUAAUCGGAUUUACUGGGGGUAAAGCGCGCGUAGGUGGCCAAUUAAGUCAAAUGUGAAAUCCCCGAGCUUAACUUGGGAAUUGCAUUCGAUACUGGUUGGCUAGAGUAUGGGGGAGGAUGGUAGAAUUCCAGGUGUAGCGGUGGAAGGCGUAGAGAUCUGGAGGAAUACCGAUGGCGGAGGCAGCCAUCUGGCCUAAUACUGACACUGAGGUGCGAAAGCAUGGGGAGCAAACA
RNAcentral lists this ribosomal RNA (424 nucleotides) under uncultured bacterium. RNAcentral describes it as "partial 16S ribosomal RNA". It matches the Rfam family "Bacterial small subunit ribosomal RNA", at positions 359 to 774 of the family's 1533-position model. The record is from RNAcentral.